This 349-nucleotide long non-coding RNA is filed under the name Panax ginseng (ginseng). RNAcentral's name for it is "long non-coding RNA (PGIN_LNC000575)". The record is from RNAcentral. Lineage: Eukaryota; Viridiplantae; Streptophyta; Magnoliopsida; Apiales; Araliaceae.
AACUUUUCAACCAUAGUUGCAGCGAAAUGAGCAAUCCAUUAGAAGAGUCAAAUAGACUAUAAAGUCUAUUAUCUUCUCCAUAUUAAAAGUCCACCAACAAUGUUUUAUCCCUGUAACAUCAAUCAAUAAUUCCUGUCCACAGUCACAUGUAUAACUUAUAAUUGUAAUUGUAGUUCUAAAUUCCUUUUUUCAUCCAGGACAAAGAUAAAUUUCAUCACCUGAAACAUCAAAGAUUAUGGUUAUACCAAAUCACAGUUUAUGUUCAUAAUCCUACUAAUAAAUUCAUCUUUGCACUACGGCCAAAGAUAUUCAUCAACAAGUCAUCUUUGCACUACAGGCCAAAGAUAUU